Long non-coding RNA from Cottoperca gobio, 787 nucleotides. RefSeq lists it as uncharacterized. The transcript is spliced from 5 exons. The record is from RefSeq and is a predicted model, not a curated record. Lineage: Eukaryota; Metazoa; Chordata; Actinopteri; Perciformes; Bovichtidae.
AGAGUAGCCCUAUGUUGUUCUUCCCACACAGGGGAAGAAUAAUAGCUAAAUUAUUUCAUCCCAUCUGGCAUCUAAUUUUACUUAUCAGUGAACUAUAGGCUAAUGCUGGUUACAAUUGUCCCCCUAUAGCCUGCUGGUAAGUAUACAGUCUCAGUAAAUGUCCCAUUCCUUUUUUCAACAACUCUCAUCUGUGCCUGUCAGUCAAGGAGCAAAGGAGCAUGGUGCAGGGUGUGUAUAACGCCGUCUCUGGUGCCUGCAGAACAGAAAUCCCUAUCAAAACAACCUCCUUUACUUCAAUAGUGAGACACAACUGAAGGGUCAAAUCAGCUUUAAAUUUAAACCUACAGGACUUUAGGAGCCAAAGUGGGAACAUCUGAAAACAUAAUGUCUUAUGACCGUAUUCUGUCCAUCGAAAAUUUGAGUGAUGUUCCAAAUCCAUGGAAAGGCUUCACUAUGAACCGCUGCUUAGUGCUGGCACUGGUCGUAAUGCUUGUGAGCUCAGGAGUCGGUGAACUGCAUGAUGCAAUGGAUUCUUUUGUUGAGGAGACCGGUAUAAUGUCUUUCAUUGGAAGUCUGCAGGAUGGUUCAAUAACUCAGAUCUCCAUAUGGGACAAUUUCAUGUGGUGGUGGGGAACUGAGGAACUUGGAGCGAUAAGAAGAAGAAAAAAGCCAAUUGGCAACAAAGCAAUCCUGAAACCCAAACCUAAAGUAUGAUUUGUAAACACAAAAUAAAUGUCAUCAACUUUUUACAACGACAUGUUUCUGAAUAAAGAGCACAAACACUCUU